This is a long non-coding RNA of Lingula anatina, 1365 nucleotides long. RefSeq lists it as uncharacterized. The record is from RefSeq and is a predicted model, not a curated record. NCBI's taxonomy places the organism in Eukaryota, Metazoa, Brachiopoda, Lingulata, Lingulida, Lingulidae.
AUGUGGGAUGAUUGGGACAUCGUAUCUAUCGUUUGUUGGGCGUGGAUUUAUCGCGGUAUUUAUUCUCCAUCUUUCAUCUAGUGGCAGUUGGGCCUUGUCGGAUUUAUCGAUAUCGUUAUGCAUCUACAUUGUCGGUAAAUUGACUUACCGGUAAAAAGAAUUAUCAACAUUCACCUUCUUUCAGUGGUGUUGAGUUUGUGGAAGAUGUUGUAUCACGGGGAUAUUAUAUUUGCAUAACAAAAAGUUGCUCAGCGCAGAUGUUGUAUCACGGGGAUAUUUAUAACUGCAUGGUGGAAGACGCACGUGUAAAUUUUCUAGAAUAAAGUAGUUCAAUUCAACACCAUGUGGGCAUGUCUACUUGUAUUUUGACCGUGAACAAUCAUGAACAGUUAGUGACACAACCUCUCACCUAAAAUGAACCACACUUGUUGCAUUUGCAUAACAACAAGUUGCUCAUCGUAGUGCGAGCUGUCUUCAAGAAUACUCACCUGGACACAUUUGGGUGAAGACAGAGCAGCAUGAGUGGUGCAGUCAAAGGGUCUAGCUUUUAUAAGGCGUAGAAGCAAAUACGUUUGAUUAGACUUGUGCAGUUCGUUUUUUGAUUGAGGUUGACAAGCUGUUCAACAUCUUUUUUCUGGAAGCCCACCGAUGUGCCACAACAAGCAGCCUAGCAUUUGAGUCGGAUCCAUGAACCCAACGCUCAGUCUUGCAUCUAUUAAGUUACAACUUAAUAAAUACAUUUGUAAUUCUGUGUUCUUUUAUUUUUAUAUGAAACAAUGUUGAUAAGGAAAGUAGAUUUAAUAAUCGGGGAAAGAUUGAGAUAAACUGUUUGACGCCUUUCAAAUUCAAUUGGUUAAAUCCGAUCUGUAAAUCUCGUCUUAUUGGCUUUCAUACUGACGAUUUUUUAUAGUAAAAUAUCUAAAAUUGAAAUGGUUUGAAAACUUACUUUUGAAAAUAUGCUUUUGUAAAUAAUUGGUUAUAAGCGUUAAAAUAUCUUACCUGCUGAAAGAAUAUAUCUUAGACUUUAAAAAAAAAACAUUUAUAAAUUCAAUUUGAAUUUACUCAGAAUCUUGUGUUUGGAAAAGUGUUUAAUGUACAUUGGGACAAACUGAUACAUCAGCCAGAUAACAUUUUCCUAAAUUUUCUUAGUAUAAUUGGCUUUAUGACAAGUACUGAUUUAAGCUACCACAAACUGAUUCAUUUUAACUUUAUCUUCAUAUGGAUGCUUCAAUUAAUUUUUUUUGAACAGAAAAAUUAGUGAAAAAACCUUGAAUCAAUUUUGAAUGGUUUUCUGAACCAUGAACCAUAAAAUGGAAUAGCCUUGCUCAACCUGCCACCCCUCAAGUGGAAUGGAAUCUCCCAACC